AACGAACGCUGGCGGCAUGCCUAACACAUGCAAGUCGAACGAGACCUUCGGGUCUAGUGGCGCACGGGUGCGUAACGCGUGGGAACCUGCCCUUAGGUUCGGAAUAACUCCCCGAAAGGGGUGCUAAUACCGGAUAAUGUCUUCGGACCAAAGAUUUAUCGCCUUUGGAUGGGCCCGCGUUGGAUUAGCUAGUUGGUAGGGUAAAAGCCUACCAAGGCGACGAUCCAUAGCUGGUCUGAGAGGAUGAUCAGCCACACUGGGACUGAGACACGGCCCAGACUCCUGCGGGAGGCAGCAGUGGGGACUAUUGGAGAGUGGGCGAAAGCCUGAUACAGCAAUGCCGGGUGAGUGAUGAAGGCCUUAGGGUUGUAAAGCUCUUUUACCCGGGAUGAUAAUGACAGUACCGGGAGAAUAAGCUCCGGCUAACUCCGUG
Molecule: ribosomal RNA, 433 nt
Filed under: uncultured bacterium
Lineage: Bacteria
Description: partial 16S ribosomal RNA
Rfam family: Bacterial small subunit ribosomal RNA
Source: RNAcentral